Melanotaenia boesemani (Boeseman's rainbowfish) is the source of this 257-nucleotide long non-coding RNA. RefSeq lists it as uncharacterized. The record is from RefSeq and is a predicted model, not a curated record. The transcript has 3 exons. NCBI's taxonomy places the organism in Eukaryota, Metazoa, Chordata, Actinopteri, Atheriniformes, Melanotaeniidae.
GCUAACUGUUAGCUCUUAGCAGGUAACUGUUAACCAUUAAUAGCUAACUGUUAGCUCUUAGCAGGUAACUGUUAACCAUUAAUAGCUAACUGUUAGCUCUUAGCAGGUAACUGUUAAGCAUUAAUAGCUAGCUGCUAGCUCUUAGCAGGUAACUGUUAACCAUUAAUAGCUAACUGUUAGCUCUUAGCAGGUAACUGUUAACCAUUAAUAGCUAACUGUUAGCUCUUAGCAGGUAACUGUUAACCAUUAAUAGCUAG